This 288-nucleotide long non-coding RNA is filed under the name Nicotiana benthamiana. RNAcentral describes it as "long non-coding RNA (NBEN_LNC025508)". The record is from RNAcentral. Lineage: Eukaryota; Viridiplantae; Streptophyta; Magnoliopsida; Solanales; Solanaceae.
CAGAAAAUCCCUGGUUACCUGUAGGCUCGGUCUGAGCAACAUAACCAUUUUUGGGUGGUCAACCAUGUAAAGAAUAGCACACGUCACGAGUGUGACCAAGUUUAUGACAAUAAGAACACUUGGGUCUAGAUCUUCCAAAACGAUCUCAUGAGAUGCCCGAUUGUCCACUGAUUGGAAUACCAUGAUAGAUGAAUCAAGUGUCUGUGAUGAGCUCACUGGGUGACUUGGUGCUGCAGCAAGGCGAAGUAAUUGAGAGAAUAAUUCAUCAACUGUGGGGACAGCCGGACU